UGGGGCUGCUAGAGUCCGUGG
RNAcentral lists this non-coding RNA (21 nucleotides) under Mus musculus (house mouse). The record is from RNAcentral. Lineage: Eukaryota; Metazoa; Chordata; Mammalia; Rodentia; Muridae.